GAUGAACGCUAGCGGCAGGCUUAACACAUGCAAGUCGAGGGGUAUAGGUUUUCGGACCUAGAGACCGGCGCACGGGUGCGUAACGCGUAUGCAAUCUACCUUUUACAGAGGGAUAGCCCAGAGAAAUUUGGAUUAAUACCUCAUAGUAUUAUUGAAUGGCAUCAUUUAAUAAUUAAAGUCACAACGGUAAAAGAUGAGCAUGCGUCCCAUUAGCUAGUUGGUAAGGUAACGGCUUACCAAGGCAACGAUGGGUAGGGGUCCUGAGAGGGAGAUCCCCCACACUGGUACUGAGACACGGACCAGACUCCUACGGGAGGCAGCAGUGAGGAAUAUUGGUCAAUGGGCGCAAGCCUGAACCAGCCAUGCCGCGUGCAGGAUGACGGUCCUAUGGAUUGUAAACUGCUUUUGUACAGGAAGAAACAGUUCUACGUGUAGAACCUUGACGGU
RNAcentral lists this ribosomal RNA (447 nucleotides) under uncultured bacterium. Its description in RNAcentral is "bacterial SSU rRNA". It matches the Rfam family "Bacterial small subunit ribosomal RNA", at positions 28 to 476 of the family's 1533-position model. The record is from RNAcentral.